CAGUCGCCGCGGUAAUACGAAGGGGGCUAGCGCUGUUCGGAUUUACUGGGCGUAAAGGGCGCGUAGGCGGACUGAUAAGUCAGGGGUGAAAUCCCAAGGCUCAACCUUGGAACUGCCUUUGAUACUGUUUGUCUUGAGUUCGAGAGGGGUAAGUGGAACUGCGAGUGUAGAGGUGAAAUUCGUAGAUAUUCGCAAGAACACCAGUGGCGAAGGCGGCUUACUGGCUCGAAACUGACGCUGAGGCACGAAAGCGAGGGGAGCAAACAGGAUUAGAUACCCGUGUAGUCCCUGUCUCUUAUAA
RNAcentral lists this ribosomal RNA (301 nucleotides) under uncultured bacterium. RNAcentral describes it as "partial 16S ribosomal RNA". It matches the Rfam family "Bacterial small subunit ribosomal RNA", at positions 509 to 809 of the family's 1533-position model. The record is from RNAcentral.